This 1373-nucleotide long non-coding RNA is filed under the name Coturnix japonica (Japanese quail). RNAcentral describes it as "lncRNA (ENSCJPG00005013286.1)". Lineage: Eukaryota; Metazoa; Chordata; Aves; Galliformes; Phasianidae. The record is from RNAcentral.
UCUGUGCAGCUGAACAAAUUUGGUCUUUGGUUGGCAAUGGUGAGUGACAUCUGAUCCAGCUGGAGUCAGUCCUACCUGUCAACUUGAAAAAUGACAGAGAAUGGAGAUUCCCUGCUGACAUUCAAGGGAAAACAUGGCAUCUGCUCGUAUUUAUACUAUUAUUUCUGCUUUAUGUUUGUAUAGCUAUUUGUUUCUGUAAAAUGUUGAUGCUUUGUCCCAUAAUGCAAAUCUGGUACUGAUCUCCUGUUUGAUGCUUGACAUCAUAAUCUAAGUAGUUACUGGAUAUGUUUAUGCAUUUGACUUGUGUGCCAAUAUAUGAUGUAGGUGCAUAGAGGUGUGGGGCAGUGCAAUUACAUCUUCAUCAAAACUCUCAAUGGAGUAUUACCAAUCUAACCUCUUGACUCAGGCUGAAUUAAAAGGAAACUGAAAAUGCUUUAAGAGCACUAGAAAUAUGAGUUUUGUCCUUUUCUAGAAGGCACUGUAAGCUUUUAAAAUCUUGUCUUUCAGAGGCUCAGAUUAUCUGCCUAGCACUUUGAGUACCGCAACUGAUAAUUGGAAUUUUGUUUUGUUUGGAAACUUGUAAAUAUUUACUUUACUUCCUGCUGUUUUAAUAGGUUUCUUCUCAUGUUCAGUCAUCCACAUUUAUUUAUAUUAUUAUUUGUCAAAGCAGAAUGUUCAGACAAGUUCACGAGAGGUAGGAAACAAUUCUGAGACUUGCUUCAAAUCCAGACUUUGGUAUGGAUGAUCUUUCUGUCUUGGUUCAGCUAUUGAUCAUUGAGUGUGCAAGUGAUAAGCAGUGUUCCUGCAGACUGAUAAUUGGGAGCACAUCUGAAAGGAAAUGCAGAAAUGGCUGUUGGCCUGUGGUAAGAAAUGCAUUUUGAAGUGAUGGAAGAUUCCCUUAUAAAUACUGAUAUGGACUGCACUUUAAGGAAUGUGUGCUCCCAAAAGAAAAUUCAGAAGUUUUUGACACAAGAGUCUGUGUUGAACUGUUUGCUACCUACAACCAGAAGGGGCAGCCUGAAGACAGUCUGGGGCCAUAGGAUAUAUGUAUUCUGCAAAGUAGAGGGAAGAAUUUGUAGGAAGCCACUCUUCCCCAGUUCUUCCACAUAGACUCUUAGCAGGCUGGAUUUUUUUUUACAAUGAAGUCAUCUAUAUGGCUGUUCUUUCUGUUUGUGCUAUCAUACAUGGCUUGCAGAUUGUGAAGAUAGAGACAUGGGAACAGGCUAAUACGAAUGCCUGGGAAUAGAAGAUAAUACAGAUUUUACCUUUCUCAAUGCUAAUUCUCUGGCUCUGCAUCUUGGCAGAUCCAUAAAAGGUUGUAUUUUAAGACUUCUGAGUCUAAAAUAAAGGUGUUGAAGAACAGUGUUUUAACA